AUUUUGUUGAAAGCAACAAUAUCACAGCUUUGAACAUACUCAUUGAUAGGUUCAACCGUAAAAUAAUUCUCAACUAGAUCAUCCACAGAGACCAAGUCAUCCACAAUGGUAAGCAUAAUUUGAAGCUUCUUAAUACCAUAUCCAACAGGAACAAGUUUAGCUGUAGAUAAAACAACAUUGUGAUCGUCAAUAAACACCAAUGAUUUAAAAGCUUUUCAGCUUUACAAGACAACCUCGUAGAUAAUAUUCAGGUUAGAUAAAGGGGACUGAUGGACUAGGACACAAGAGCGUCCGAGAAAGAAAGGCAAAAAGAUACCUGAAUGAUGAAAAAGCAAUUGUCUCACUUCCAGUAAAAAUAAAAUUCAACUCGAUAGAACAAAGAUGAACGAACAGAAGCUUACAUGCUCCAUAAGUCAAUCCUUCCAUCUGAACACUUCGAACAGCUUCUUCAAGCUUUUUCAUAUCGGUCUCAUCAUCCCAUGGCUUGACAUCCAAGAGAACUGAUGACUUACCGG
RNAcentral lists this long non-coding RNA (515 nucleotides) under Nicotiana tabacum (common tobacco). RNAcentral's name for it is "long non-coding RNA (NTAB_LNC012056)". Lineage: Eukaryota; Viridiplantae; Streptophyta; Magnoliopsida; Solanales; Solanaceae. The record is from RNAcentral.